GGCGCCCCUCCCCCAGCCUUGCUGCUGCCUUGCAGUUUGAUCUCAGACUGCUGUGCUAGCAAUCAGCGAGACUCCGUGGGCGUAGGACCUCCGAGCCAGGUGCGGGAUGUAAUCUCGUGGUGCACCGUUUUUCUUAAGCCGGUCCGAAAAGCGCAAUAUUCGGUUGGGAGUGACCCGAUUUUCCAGAGAUGAGGUCUCACAAUAUUGCCCAGGCUGGUCUCAAGUCCCUGGACUCAAGUGACCCUCCUGCGUUGACCUCCCAAAGUGCUGUUAUUACAAGCAUGAGCCACGGUGCCCAGCCACCACCAGGGACGGUCAAGUUGGUAUCCAUCGUGAAGCUAAAUGAAUAUCUGGACAGGAGUCAGACAAAGGGAAGGAGAAUCCAGGGGAAGAUGAAGCAGCUGCAGGCCUGUCUGCUACCCUAUAUCCGGGGAAGAGCCAGAAAUUGCUGACCAUAGAGAGUUACAUUGUCCAGCUUUUCCUCCACGAAAUGGAGCAGCAACAAAAGGCCAGAUCAUUCAACCUAUGCUUCCUCAAGUCUGAUAACAUUAGCGUUUCUCUCAGAUAUCAGUUCAAGUAAGGAGUUGCCAAUAGAAGCAAAGAUGCCAGGAAUCAUCGUUUUUAUUUCAGUGUCCUUACGAAGACCUUUGAGCACAAUGGAACGAUGAGGCAACAUUAAAUAUUACUGGAAUGGGGUAUGAAAG
RNAcentral lists this long non-coding RNA (704 nucleotides) under Homo sapiens (human). RNAcentral's name for it is "keratoconus gene 6". Lineage: Eukaryota; Metazoa; Chordata; Mammalia; Primates; Hominidae. The record is from RNAcentral.